This 102-nucleotide small nucleolar RNA is filed under the name Solanum lycopersicum (tomato). RNAcentral describes it as "Small nucleolar RNA Z221/R21b". It matches the Rfam family "Small nucleolar RNA Z221/R21b". Rfam says of the family: Z221 is a member of the C/D class of snoRNA which contain the C (UGAUGA) and D (CUGA) box motifs. Most of the members of the box C/D family function in directing site-specific 2'-O-methylation of substrate RNAs. RNAcentral also lists the same sequence under 1 other name. Lineage: Eukaryota; Viridiplantae; Streptophyta; Magnoliopsida; Solanales; Solanaceae. The record is from Rfam by way of RNAcentral.
GAGCUGUGAUGAGAUCUGAAGAAAGUCAUGCACCACUCUUACAAAAUUAAUUAUUUUUUUGAUUGAUGACAAAUUUCUCAUACCCAUUUUGCUUCUGAGCUC